GGGCGCCUAGUAUAGUGGUCAGUACACUUCGUUGUGGCUAGCUUCGAUAAGCUUGCAUCCCCGAAGAAACCCAGGUUCGAUUCCUGGGGCGCCCA
Non-coding RNA from Cercophora sp. LCS_1, 95 nucleotides. Lineage: Eukaryota; Fungi; Ascomycota; Sordariomycetes; Sordariales; Lasiosphaeriaceae. The record is from the annotation of a GenBank genome assembly.